Molecule: ribosomal RNA, 496 nt
Filed under: Caulerpa microphysa
Lineage: Eukaryota; Viridiplantae; Chlorophyta; Ulvophyceae; Bryopsidales; Caulerpaceae
Description: bacterial SSU rRNA
Rfam family: Eukaryotic small subunit ribosomal RNA
Source: RNAcentral
AGGCAAUAACAGGUCUGUGAUGCCCUUAGUUAUCCUAGGUCGCACGCGCCAUACAAUGUGGCGCACAACGAGUUUCCUAGGCCGAUAGGAUUGUCUCUUUACUCAAUUGACACUUCAUCACUGCACAUAUUGGUUUCGAUCAUUUAUAUGUGUCGUUUCUUAUCUGUGUGUGGUUCUAUUUGUGAUGUUUUGUGUUGAUGAAAGAGAUACUGGGCAAUCUGAGAGAGCGCUACGUGACUGGGCUAGACUUUUGUAAUUGUUGGUCUUGAACGAGGAAUGCCUAGUAAUCGUAGGUCAUUAUCCUGCGAUGAUUAUGUCCCUGCCCUUUGUACACACCGCCCGUCGCUCCUGCCGUGGCCCGUGCCGGUGAAGAGGGGGAGGCAGCGUCAACGGAGUAAAAUCCGAUUGUACGUGGAACCCCUCUGAACCUUCGCGAGUAGAGGAAGGAGAAGUCGUAACAAGGUUUUCGUAGGUGAACCUGCGAAAGGAUCAUUAU